RNAcentral lists this ribosomal RNA (250 nucleotides) under uncultured bacterium. RNAcentral describes it as "partial 16S ribosomal RNA". It matches the Rfam family "Bacterial small subunit ribosomal RNA", at positions 524 to 773 of the family's 1533-position model. The record is from RNAcentral.
AACGUAGGACACAAGCGUUAUCCGGAGUUACUGGGCGUAAAGCGCGCGCAGGCGGUUUGUUAAGUUCGCUAUGAAAGCACCUGGCUAAACUGGGUGAGGCUGGCGGAUACUGGCAAGCUAGAGUAAGGCAGAGGCAGAUGGAAUUCCGCGUGUAGUGGUGAAAUGCGUAGAGAUGCGGAGGAACACCAGUGGCGAAGGCGGUCUGCUGGGCCUUAACUGACGCUGAGGCGCGAAAGCGUGGGUAGCGAAC